GUGGGGCCGGCCGGUUCUCUCAAAUCACUGCUGUUGGGCGAACUUGAUUUUCUUUUGUCCUUUUUUUUUAAAUUUUUUUUAUUGAUUUCUUUUUAACGCUUCGACCUCACUCACUGUGACUGACUGACUGACCGACCUACCCAAACGAUCAGGCACCGGGCGGACUCUCCAUUUGAAUCCCAAAGCCGUAGAGGAGAGAAAUUUUGUUCUUCUUCUGCAAGGCAGGUGAUCCGAGAGAGGCGCAGGCUCUUCGUUUGCCAUGGCGACCGACCCUGGGAUCCCCAAGGUGGAGGCGGCGCCCGGAGGAAGCGGCGACGCAUCGUCUGAGGGGCGGAGGGGCAGCGAUCCUCCGCGCCUGGAUCUGAAGAAGGCCAGGAAGGAGAGGAUCUGCACCGCCAAGGAGAGGAUCAGCCGGAUGCCGCCCUGCGCCGCCGGUAAGCGGAGCUCAAUCUACCGGGGAGUCACCAGAGUGUGAGAAAGAAAGUGUCCAUGAAAUGACGGAGACAGUGAUAUCUAUGAAAAAGUGCCUCUUUACUACUUGGAUUUCGGUUUGUGGAAAUAGGUGGGUAUUUGGUUAUAUUUAGAACAAAAUAUGAUCUUGGAUUGGAAGUGUGUUCUGAUCAGCGUAGCGGCUUCUUUGAUUGGCGAGCUCAGUCCAGCAAGCAUGGUGGGACAAUCGGAAUGUCAUGGUUGAUCGUGACUUUUUAAUUAGUAGUUAUGGCUUCUUCGGUUGGUAAGCUCGUCAAGGUUAGCGGCUCAGCAUGUCAGGAUUAUUGGAAUGGCGGUGUUGAUCAUUUGCUUUUUAGCUUACUCCUUUGGAUUAGUUGUCUUAUUGGUGUAGUCGUUGGAUUUCAUCGUACGCAUUUAGGUGGUUGCCAUAUUAUCUCAAGUUAAAAAGUAAGAUCAAGGUGAGAGGUAAAUCGAGAUUAUACUGGGUGGUGGUUUGAGCUCUUUAUACAGAGAUAUAGGAUCACAAAUUAAAUGAGAAUUAACGCCUCUUUAAUUCACAUCUUAUUUGGGAGGUGAAAGGCCAAGGCCACCCUUAAUUAUGGAAUUAACCAAGGUGUAAACACCUUAAAUUAAAAUUGGGUGGCUAGAAGGACGUAAACAGUGUUGAGUAGCACGUCUUCCAUCAGUGAUGUUUGGUAUUGUUCCUGCACACUACACUAAUUUGAUUUUGAUAAAGUCAAAAAUCAAAUCAAGGACUCCUUUGAUUUGAAUAUUUGGGCCAUCAAAUCAAAACCCCACUAGUGGGCUUGUUUAACUCAAUCAAUGGGAUUCACAAUAGUAGAAAUUCAGCCCAAUUAGGCUGAGCUUUUAGCUCAUUUUAGUUGAGAAAUUAGCCUACUAAAUUUUGUGCGACUCAAAAUACCCUUCAAAUUAGUCCCACUUGAAUUUGCGUUUAUGCGUACUCUGAUUAGGGCUUAUAAGUUCACAUUUGUGGAUUACAAUCGUAUACACGAGCUUGUGCCCUUCUCUGAUUGUAAAUCAAUCUAGACGAAACAAGAACUACUUGUGGUUUUCUCCAUCACUUGAGUAGCUUUUAAUUGGACAUUAAUUUCUCAUUCACUUGAGAAAUUAAUUUAUAAAAAUUUAUUUGCGAGAUAGGUUAUUGUCUUACUUGAUUUUAUUAGUUACAAAAAUCAGUUUCUAACAAUCAUUCAAAUUGAAAUUAGAAUAAGUUAUAAAUAUGUUAAUAAAAAAUUCUAGCAAAAAAAAGAAUUAUUGUAGUGCGAGAGUUAGCUUGUGAUUUUGUACCAUGCAUAGCGGAAUGAUGUCAGAGUUUAUAUAUUUGAUCAGUAGAUAAAGCUUUAGUUAGAGGAUCUGUAAGAUUCUCCUUCGACUUUACAUAGUUGAUGGAAAUUAUCUUACUAGAGAUCAACUACUUAGCGAUGUUAUAUGUCUUAUGAUGAGACUUACCAUUAUACAUGCUAUUCCUUGCCCUACCAAUAGUCGCUUGGCUAUUGCAAUGUAUCAUAACUUUUGACAUGGAAUAUCCUCCACAAAAUUGUAGAGUUAUUCUUCUUCUCUAGCUUUAUCUAAAGCUAUUCCUCAAUGUCCAUGGUAUACCGAGCUAUACAAAUCUUUUUCAAGGACUUCUUGGACACAACACCUCCUCCAAUGGUAAGCAUGUGACCACUCUUGGAUUUGGAGUCUUUUGUAUCCCAUAUCUAAAUAACAUCUUCAGAUACCUUGAGUAGUGUACUCUGAUCAUUGUAUGUUUGAGAUACCUACUUAUUAGUGCUUUCCAACAAUUGCUACAUGGAUUACUUGCAUACUACUCAACUUGUUGACUGCAUAUCUUAUGAGUGCAUUUUAUGAUGUAUAUUAGACUGCCUAUUAUUCUAGAAUAUUUUGUAUGAAUGUCGAUGAAGAUGGUCCUGCUUGAGUGGGGUGAAUGGAUGGUGAGUCUAAAUUGUUCGCUUCCUUGUGCACAACUCA
Long non-coding RNA from Zingiber officinale, 2442 nucleotides. RefSeq lists it as uncharacterized. Lineage: Eukaryota; Viridiplantae; Streptophyta; Magnoliopsida; Zingiberales; Zingiberaceae. The record is from RefSeq and is a predicted model, not a curated record. The transcript is spliced from 2 exons.